ACAACGCUAGUAUAAAAAGUACCACUGCCUUCCACGCAGAAAGUUUGCAACACCGCAAGCGUAGUA
This 66-nucleotide transfer RNA is filed under the name Cheilonereis cyclurus. RNAcentral describes it as "tRNA-Gly". The record is from RNAcentral. Lineage: Eukaryota; Metazoa; Annelida; Polychaeta; Phyllodocida; Nereididae.